Molecule: ribosomal RNA, 368 nt
Filed under: uncultured bacterium
Lineage: Bacteria
Description: bacterial SSU rRNA
Rfam family: Bacterial small subunit ribosomal RNA
Source: RNAcentral
GGCCCGGCACAAGCGGAGGAGCAUGUGGUUUAAUUCGAUGAUACGCGAGGAACCUUACCAAGGCUUAAAUGUAAUAUGACCGGUUGAGAGAUCAACCUUUUUUCGAACAGAUUACAAGGUGCUGCAUGGUUGUCGUCAGCUCGUGCCGUGAGGUGUCGGGUUAAGUCCCAUAACGAGCGCAACCCCUAUUUUUAGUUACCAGCGAGUAAUGUCGGGAACUCUAGAAAAACUGCCUGUGCAAACAGAGAGGAAGGUGGGAUGACGUCAAAUCAUCACGGCCCUUAUGUCUUGGGCUACACACGUGCUACAAUGGUUACUACAAUGUGAUGCCAUCUGGUGACAGAGAGCUAAUCAAUAAAGGUAAUCUC